Long non-coding RNA from Cercocebus atys (sooty mangabey), 19302 nucleotides. RefSeq lists it as uncharacterized. NCBI's taxonomy places the organism in Eukaryota, Metazoa, Chordata, Mammalia, Primates, Cercopithecidae. The transcript is spliced from 6 exons. The record is from RefSeq and is a predicted model, not a curated record.
GCCUCCCACAGUAUCGGGAUUACAGGUGUGAGCCACUAUGCCUGGUCUUAUUGGCCUCAUGGCCAGGUAAUUGACCUGAAACAGAUAACUUACUGCCUAGAUGCAAAGCAGAAAAAUGCAUGCAGUGUUGGUGGCAAUGGUAGAGAUCUGUGAAGGAUUUGGCUAUUUCAGACAUAUGGCAUAAUCUGUGGGGAAAGAGAGAUGAUUGUCUGUAUUCUGAGACCUCAAAGAUGUAAGCCAUCGGACCACUCUUGUUUUCCAAACAUAAGACACAUUGGCCUUAAGGAAGCAGCCCCAGUGACGUGAUGUCAUCUUGCCUUAAUCAGUGUACAAUGUAGAAAGAACUUAAGAUGGGCAUUCCAGUCCCAUGAUGCCAGCACUGAUGGCACACAGAGCCCUGGACGUUAAUUUAGCCUCUAGUAUUUCAGUUUCUCUCAGACAAAUGGAAAUAAUGCCUUUGCUACUUACAUUAGAGAAUUUUGGGGAAGAUUAAGAUAAUGGGUAUAGGAAUACACGAACCAAAAUAAUUUGAAAGUGUUAGUCAAUUUUUUGCUUUCUUCCUCUCACUAGUGGUGGCUUUCUUGUUCUUCCUUCUUGCCCCCUUUCUCCCCUCUCUCCCUUCUCCCUCCUGCUUGCUUUGUUGGGCCCCUGAGCCUUUGGGAAGGAGAAGUUGGUGAAUGCUGUGAUAAAAAUAAAUGAGUUCCCAGUGGGUUGGCCUUACUUUUUCCACUCUCAUAAUGGACAGAAGGGAAGAUAUCCCAGAGAUCAUCUAGUCAGUUGUUAUUUAGUUGAAGAUACUGUUUCUAAUCCUAAAUAAAUCUUACCUAGAAUCUGGUAUACAUAAAAUUUUUAAACAUAAGUUCUCUAUUUUAAAUGGUACUACAAGGAUGGAAAGUGAGUUUACAACAUUUCUGUGUAGGACUUCCCCCAAACCACCAAAUUUUACAGAAAACAGUGCAAAACAAAAGUUUCUUCUCCAGUCUUCUAAUUUUUAUAGGAGAACCUAGAGGACCUGAGGGGUAAAAUACCUUGAAGCUAAAGAAAGAAUGCCUUGUGAGCAGGCCCAUUUGAUGACCAUGGAAAUUCAUUACCUGACGCCCGGGUAAAGCGAAGAGAAGGGUUGGAACACAUUAUGACGUACGAAAUACCAUAAGGUUGUGAAACCUUCGUUCACGGUUUGCUUUGCCUAAAGCAAGUCGUCCUCUCCCUGGGCCUUGGUUCUUCAUGUGCAGAAUGAAAGGGUUGAUGAAAUGAGCUCCAAGAUCCUAUAAUUCAGGAGUUCCAGCAUUCUUCCUGAUGAAGAAGGGGCUCCAUAGAAGCAAAAUACAGUAUCGAAAAAGAUUCUUCAGAUUCCUACAGCAGGUGUAUUAUUGAUUCAAAACUGUUAACUACUGUUCCACUGGGAAGAUGAUCAUGACUGUCUUACUCGUAUGGGCACAUUCAGAUCCCACAUCGAAAGAGAAGUACUUAUACAAGUUCCUGGCCUCAAAAACUGAAAUGGGAAGAGGAAAGAUUCUUAUAAAAGAAAAAAAAAAGACAAGUAAGUACAAUUCAUUGGUUCUUCUCAGAUCAAACUGCUGCUCUUAUGCACUUGAGUUGAGCUUCUAUCCCCUGUUCCCUGCGGGAGGUCUCUGGGAGGCAGCCGAGAACACGGACACUGGUGAUUGGGGAGUCCCUCAAUGAUGUUGUAAACAAAAAUGAAAGAGGCUGGUUUGACUUUGAUUUUUUCCUUGAAUCAGUUACUUUUUAAAAGCCAAUUACUUCUAGUGAAUAUUUGUCUUUCCUGUUCAGCAAAUUAUUUAUUUAAAUAGUUCUUAAGAAACAGCUCUUCGGAAUUCUGUUUAAAAGGAAUGCUUUGAACAUCUAAGGUACAACAUUCCUUUAUGAGUCAUAUGUUGCAAUCCCUAAUCAGAUCUCUUUACACAGAGUCCUGUAGGCUUAGGCAGUUCUCCUAAGAAAUGAUGAACUGCUCUAUUGGCAGCCGCUGCAGGGUGAGAAGCUCGGUGUGCCACUUAACUGGCUUAAACACACACACACACACACACACACACACACACACACACACACACUUGGGCAAAGCCUUUAGUUAAUAUUAUUGCUCAAGUAAAAAUUUUAUUACACUCUGCAGAGUUCACAAAGAAGAAGCAUUAGACUGGCAAGCAGAGCUGGUUGGAUUUACCUUUGACGUAGUGAGCUCCUUGAAGCUACAACAAUGCCAUAUACAUCCUAUCACAGUGUCUGUAGAAGGGACACAGUAGGUGCCUGCAAAAUUAAUGAUUACAUGGAUUGAGUCCAGCCAUGCAUUUGAUAUUUCGAUCUUGUCUAUGGCCCUCUUGCCAGCCAAACCCUUUUUCAUCCUGUUCUAGAACAUCUCCACUGACAGGGAACUCAACUCUGGAUAUAGUAACCAGGGCGGAGGUGACUCAAGACGAAACUGCUAGGUUUUCAUCUUCCCAUUCUUCCUUUUGCCUCCAGGGUAUUCAGUUGCUAAAGGGGAAAGGUGUGAACAACUGAAUACGCAAUUUUCCAUGGUGUAUUCAGUGGUUAGCACCUUUCCCCAUCUUCUUAAACCAAUGCUAUCUAAAAACUUUCUUCUUAACACAUCCCUUGCCCUAUCAAAGCCCACUCCCAAGAAACGUUUUGACAAAUAUUUCAUUCUGAGGUAUAAGCAGACAAUGGUGGCUCAGAAGACUCCUUCUUGGCGACAUUCGUAUUUUUAUCAGAGCCCAAAUCUUUGAGUAAAAAACCUCAUGAUUCACUAUAAGAGAAAUUUCAGGCUCCCAUCAGUGGCUGGAAGGACAUUCUUCUAUCUCCCCUUGCCAGCUGCAAAGCCUUCUGGGAGCCUCAUAUUAUCUCCCGUGGGCAGCUGUCUUGUGUCCCUGGGCAGAAUCUCUCUUCAAGAAAGCAUCAGCAAGCAUCACAGGAGGCUGAAGCACGAGAAUCACUUAUCCGUAUAAGAAAUAGUGUCACGAUGAUUUGUUAUGUCUUCAAGGCUAGCAAGCUCUCCCUUAUUCCUUCUCCGAUAUCUUGCAUUAUCCUAUUUUACUAAUGAGAAAAUAUUCUCUAAUUUAAGCACAAUGGUAUAUUUUAUUUUCCUAAUGAACUGCUUUCUGUGAUUUUGGACUAUCCCAUUGCUGAAAUGUUGUAUCUGAUUUUUGAGGCUCUAAUGAUCCUAAUAAAUUAUAAACAUUUUGCAUUAAAUGAACUCUUUUGUGGACACUCUAAUAAGUCCUGAAGAAAGUCAGGCUGUCUCCUGAGUUUGAGGGGACAGCCAGAACUUUUAAUGGAAAGUGGUCCUUAUUAGAACCAACCCCAGACCCAGGGCUGGCAAGCAGCAGAAGCUCUGAGCAUAUGCCCAGGUAAUGAAGAUUUGUAAACUAGGUCAUGAUGGUGCCCCACACAUCAUAAGACCCAUCGCAGCCUGGGAAAAUAUUAUGUUGAUUUUUGUCCCCUCUGAAAGAUCUGUAGAAAAUGCUAACAGAGCAAGAAAAGGUUAGAAUUCAAGGAAGAACAUGCCUAUCGCUCUUGUCGCCAGAUUGGUCCUGGUAGGCAUGACUUUUCCUUUGGCACCCGGUGGAGAUCUUUUUCAAUGGAGCUCUUGCAUGAGACACGGAGAUGGUCCUGCUUUUGUUUCCAUGGAAAAAAAUGCUGAACAAUGUAUUUUAUGUACUGCUAGUUGCUCCCAAUCAUCGAUACAAAUACCCAUACAGCAAAGUAGCAGUGGAAACAGUAAAAUGAAUGAGUGAGUUUGACUGCUUGGAUAUAAAGAACAGAGAUUGUUUCAAAGGAGAAAAGACAGCCUGCAAAUGAUCAGGGCAUGUAUGUAGAUGAGGGUAACAGCAAGGACGCAGGCGCAAAUAUGAAUAGAGGACGUGGGCGAUCCAUCUGAGCAGAGGACACAGAGCCUCAGAGCCCCUUCUUACUUAAAUAUUUCAAGGGGAGGGAGGCGAGCAACAUAUUUCACUCCCUUGCAUAGUGAGUGUCUGGGAUCAUUAGGACCCAAAGUAAAAAAAAAAGAAAAUAAUUUGACAAAAUGUCCAGAGGCACAACAUGAUAUAAAGCACGACAUUUUUUCACAUAUGUGUAAGCUUGUUUCAAAAUGGGCAUUGCUUCUGAAAAGGAGUGCUUUAAAAAAUGUAGAUACUGAGUCAACUUUUAGCUCUCCGAGCUAUUGAAACUGCAAGGGAUAAGCAAGGAAAGCACUUUUUUAAAAAAAGAAAGAUAAUCAAAAGCAUUUAUGUGUGAUGUUGAGAGCUAUAUGUGAGUUUGUGUGUGUGUACACAGAUUUAGCAUUCUGUGCAUUUCUUGAGUUAACAUUAAAACAGAUUUGCCUUUUAUGAAUACACUUCAGGAGAACUGGAGAGGUGCAAUAUUAGACCUGAUUUCUAGUUUCCAUACCAUUGCUACCUGGCUGUGUAAUCCUGAGACGACUGAUAACAUCUCUCGGUGUCACUGAUGAAAUAAAGGAAUUGGUCUUGAUAUCUUCUUGAGGUAUGCUCAAGCCAUAAAAGGUAGUGAUUUUGUUAGAGUGUUCAAGAAUAUGCCAAGUCGGUCCUAUGACAAUGGAGCUACAUAUAUGUAUUGGUGCUCAGGGGGGACAGAUGGAAGAGAUAAGAAGAGGAGAUAAAAAUAACCCAGUAAGGAAAAGAAAUGUUUGAAUGUUUGGGGGCAGAAAAAGUGGAUCAUUGAACACAGAAGCAAAUACUGCUGGUAGGUUUAAUGAUCUCUGCUAUAGCUAUUGAUUCAUUUCAAGCAUCUCUAUCAAAGGGCUGGGACAUGAUAUGAGUAUAAGCAGGGAUUCUAUGUCUGCCCUCAGAAGCCCAGUGACUCAUUGUCUCCUGUGCAGUGGAGGUGGCUGUGGGCACUGCAGGCUUAGUCCCAGCUUUGGCUGAUCCCACCCUGGUUGCCUGAAUCACAGUGUGAGACCAACUCCCUUGCCCUGCUGGGCUAAUCAGUACCUCUCAAUCGUGGGUCCCAGUAGAGCCCCAUAAGCUGGUGUGGCCCAAGUGAUGGGCAAGGAGGGAAGGAGGUGGUCCCUAAGAACGAGAGAAAGUGACCAGGUAGGCAGAAGUAAAGUUACCAUUCAAAGUAAGAAAGAUUUUUUAUUUUUUUAAAGCAUAAUAAACCCAAUAUUUGCAAAUAGAAAGGCUGUCUUUUAAUUUUGCCCUUUCCAUGGUUUCCUCAUUACUGUCUACAACCAAGGCUGAAUCUUGAAGCUCCUGGCAUGAGCAGCAGCCUGGAGGACAAGCCCAUUGCUCAUUACGUCUCAAAGCUCACUUUCUCAACCUUCUCAGAAAGUGAUCAUUUUAAAAGCCAGUUUUGUGGGGAGAGGAAGGGAUUUCUAAAUGGCAAAAACCUACACAAAGAGGAAGAACUGAUGGAUUCUGUCUUUGAGUUUGACCAUGUGUCAAGGACAGGGGGAACUCAGAGUAGAAUGUGAGCAGGGAAGCCUUCCGCUCCCUUUCAGCAAAUGGGGAGAUGCAGAUGCAGAGAUUAGGGGUGAGAAGUAGCGCCUAGAUGGACCUGUCCUCAUCUCUCCUCUCUGAGUUGCUUGUAAGUUGCCGAGUUUUGCAUAUGCACCCAAGGGACGAGGGGACAUUUGUCUAUGAUCUUGACUAGGCAGGUGGGAUAGAAGAAUGUCACAGCAAAGUAGAAACCGACUGGCAGUUGAGGGCUGUGGGGUGGGCCAUUUAGCAGGGACAGCGGAGGUACUAAAUUCCUUUCAUAAUAUGAUAUGUACUGAACCACAGUGUAUUCAGUUGUAAGGAAGGGCCAUAUUUUAUUCAAGAAAUUCUUUAUUCUUAUGCAUUAGGAUAUUUCCAGUUUCUUCACAAAAUUACACUUUAAAUCAAGAACACCAAGGCAAUACUUGAAAACUUAAUUUUCUGUCUUUGUUAUCAGUGAAGUAGCGUUACUUCAUUGGAGAGCAAUGGCUCUGUGGCCCAGACAGAUGGAACACAAAAACGAAACUAAACAACACAAAACAGACCUGCUGAAUCAGAACCACGGUUGAUGGGAACUGCGCUGUUGGUGAGAAGCAACUUGUGAAAUAGGCGCUAUUGUCUUCCUGUUCGAUGACGCUGAGUAUUUAAGUGAAGUGCCAAGCAUACUGUAUAGAUGUGUCUUCAGUAAAAUGAAACCAAUAUAUUUUUGCCCCUAGAGGAAGAGAUACGCUCAAUUUGCCCAAGGUCAUGGAGUAAAACCAAAAUUUAAACCAGCAAACUAGAAAAAUGGUCCAACUGUCACUAUCCUCAAGUGCUUCAACUCUACUAGAAAAUGGAAAGGUGAGAGAAAUUCUGAUUCACAAAAACUAUUUCCUUUAACUGCAGAAAGGAGAAACAGACAAGUCAAAACCUGAAGAGUAUUAAUAUUUUUUUUGAAAUUGUAUGGAUUAGAAGAGAGAGACUUAAUUAAUUAUAUAAAUAUAAAAAAGGACAAGUGUAGCCAGCAGGUUAAUAAUGAAUAUUUCAGAAGCUAGUGCUUACAAAAAUAUGUUCCUUAAUUAUGUUCAUUUACAGACCUUUGAAAGAAAGAGUGUUAAUGGGCUAAAAGAAUUUCAAUACCUAGGAUGAAGAUGAAUCAAAAUGAAUUGCGAAUGAGAAAUUGAGAGCAGAUGACAUAAGUAGGUUAUAAACAUACUGCCUCUUUUUCUCAUAUACUUAUACAAAAUGCUCUUUGUUACUUUAGAUUUUAGAGGUUGAAGUUCAAUGGCAUCUUAGACAAGGAAAGAGAAACUCUAAUGCCUUUUCUUAUUUGUUUUGUAUAUUUAUCUCUAAAACCUAGACUUCCUACCAGAGAACACUUUGUAGCCAACAAUAAGGAAGUCAGAUUUGGGAUAUUAAAAGACAAUAACCUUUUAAUGUUUGAGAAAAGAUGGGCUUGAGAAAUCCAUUCCAGGUUGUAAUCUAUUAAUUGUGAAGUGUAGUUCACUGAAAAUUUGAUUUCUAGUCCAAUAUUUGCUUAAGAGCUAUAGUUAAAUAUUUAAUAUCAAUGACUAUUAGCUAUGGCUCUGAGACUUGGUUGGACACCAUGAUUCGCUUUCAUCUGACCUUUUUGGAGAUUCAAUUUAUUUUAACUCAACUGAGAAUCACAGAGUCAGAGUUAAAUGAAAUUUUAGAAAUCACUGAAUACCACUUUCACUCACCACCACUGGAUGGAUAAGAACUCUGAGUUUCUGAUGGAGUAAGUUGCUGUAGUUCACUCAGCAAAUCAGAGAAAGAACUUGCACAGACAUUAGGAAUUCCACAUCACAGGCCUUUCAUUGCCUGAGAUAAGCCAGUCCAAACUAUUUGCAAAUGUUAGUAAAAAAAUCUGGAUUCUGCUCAAGACACCACUUUCCUGAUUCAAUGGGGUCAAGAUGAAACCAGGACAUUCAUGUUCUAAGCUGCAUGGGAUGUUCUGUAUCUACUUUUUUGAAACAAGCUUCAGUUCUGAAUGGCUAAUGGAUUAGAUGCUCUUCAUUUUGCUUUUCCAUCUUCAUUAAUACUUCGUAGAAGAAAAAAGCAUUACAUUCUAUAAAUAGAAAUAGAAUUGCAGAUUAGAGAUUAGUGGUUUGAAAAUACUUCUACAGCCAUUUAGCAAUGAAGAAGAAAGACUACAAGUUAUUUUCAGUAAGAUUUUCUCUAAGAAAUAGUCCUCGGAGUCCUGGAAAGGUAGACUUCGACAAAUAUCCAUGGCUGGGCAGCCUCAGAUUUCAAUGAAAUAUUUUCCUGAUGGUCUUUGGAGGUGACUCCACUUAUUUCUCCCAUGUAAAAGAAUUUACUCGGUAGAUCUCAUGGAGGUGGAAUGGCCAAGUCAAUUUUUUAAGUACAAGGAAAUAUUAUAAGCAUGUAGCAAACUUUGUUGGUUACAAGACUCCACAUUGAGCUCUUGCUUCUAACUUCCUUUCUAAGAGACCACCAGUUUAAUUGGGGGGGGGGUCGUCUAACGUCUUUCUUCUGCAUCCACGUACUACAUUAGGCUAGUCAAGGGAAUCCCACCUCCCUUGCACAUGCUAACGGUCAGAACAGGCACGUGACACACACAGAAGGAGUUGUGAGGGUGUUCCUGUUGAAUGAUUUCUGAGAAUUUCUUCUUAUAAAAGAGACUGUCAGCAGGAGCUGAUGAAUUAGCUUCCCCUGGACACUGCCACAUGUGUGUGUCCUGCCCAGAUUGCUGUAGCCUCCCCACAACCACGAGGGCAGCCAGCCGGAGAAUGAAGCCGGCAGGCAGGGAGGACAGAGUCAUGGCAGACAGAGUGCUGGUUCUUGGCAUUCUGGAGCCUCAGAUAUCACCAACCCUUUCACCGCCAUGCCUGAGACUUCCUGUUAUACAAAAUAACCACAUUUCCUCCUACUUUUAAGACAGCUAAUUGAGGGUUUUCUGUUGCUUCCUACAGCAAACAUCUUAAUGGAUAUACAAAUAAUACAGAAGUAACCUUUCCCCUGACAUUUUAAAAAAUGUGGUGACCCCUGUCAAGGACUUUUACUUCAGCGGUAUACUUCCAUCCCCAGAGAUGCUGCUAAGAAUACAGAGUUGGCUAGAUUACUAUCCCCAGUGAUGGAAUAUUCAAAAUUUAAUCAGUUUUCAGUUCAAGGAAAUAACCGCUAAUAAAAAAAAUGCUUUUGGAUCAUUUCAUGAGGCAGAGUACUUUAUUCCAUAUGGCAUCCUGCACGUCCAUAUGGCUUCAGGAAUUAGAGAGGUAUAUUUGUCAAAAUAUUCAAUCAAUUGCAGCCCUUAAAGUUGAUAAUGUUAUGUGUUUGGAGCAUACACCAUCUCUUGAAUAUGGGGGAAAGUCAAAGGAGCAAAUGCCAGCCAAAGAAAAAUCACAGUGAGUUUAUAUUCAGGAGAGAAGGAAAAGAAAGAAAAGAGACCUGCACUGCUGUAAUUUAAUCCAAAUCAUGUGAAUGAUAUUGACUCGGCGCUGCAAUAACCUAGUCAUGGGUAAAAGCAAUGUGUAAUAAGAUUUAUUCAAAUAAGAAUAGGGCAGGAAAAUUCUGAUUAUUUUACAUUUCAAUAGGCAUAAUUUCAAAACAUCAACCACAUAUAAAGCAGUUACCUUAAAGAAAAAGACAUGUAUUAAACAAAUUUAAACACCUUCAACAUUUUGUAAGUUUUUUUAUUUUUUAUUUUAUUUUAUUUUUUCCUGCACCAUUGCCCAAUCAGACUUCAGAGAUUGUUCUUAACCCCUUCUGGCUUUGGCUGCCUAUAAACUGCUUUAGCUGUGACUGAUCUAAAAUUUCUGCAAACUUGUCUUUCUAGAUAAGGAAAUUAAGUAGAAUAGCUGCCCACAGGGAAUACAUCAUGUCACUGGCACCUUCCAUUCUUAUGUCAUGUAUUCUAGGUCUAAGUGCAUGGGGAAGAAGGCUGGCUCAGGAGGGCAGGCUGAGCUGCUUGGGCAACAGGUUUUUUUGUUUGUUUGUUUGUUUUGUUUUCAAGGUAAUAAAAAAAUAAGCAUGAGCUGUAUUUCAGUGAAAUUAUCCCAAAUGAGAGAAAGCAGAAGAUGUUAGAUUUGAUGCUGUGCAGAAAAGAGAGGCAACUGACAGACUAACAAGGUUGGUUCCCCUAGAAAAAAAAAAAAAAUAGAAUCAAACCCAUCAAACAAGAAAUGGACAGGAGAAGUCUGUAAGGGCCACAGGCACGAAGAGACCAAUUUUCUGAAAUACAUUUCAUGUUAAAUUAACUACUCUCAGAUUAGGAUGCUGAAUAUAUCCAAUAUACACAAGUUAGGUGAGUAAAAUUCAAUGAGGAUGUUUCUGAAUGUUUAUACAGGGGAAUUUACAAAUGAACAAAUUCAAAAUCGAUUUCAUACCAUCAAAGGAUUAUCCUCUGGAUGUGGAAGUGACACUGGAGUGGCAUAAAGGUUAGCCAAUUCCCUUCAUUUCUGCCAAUAAGCACUACUUCUCAGUCAUCAGAACCCCAGGGGUGCCUGUCUCUGGGCUUCAGCUUACAUGGAAAUUGUCAAGUCAGUGCUUUUUGAACAACACAAUGAAACUGACAAAAUUUGAAAUUUUGCAGGCAUGAAACCAUUAAAAAACAAAGGACAAACCAUGACAUAAUAUUGAGUCUAAUGAACCUGUCCUACAACGUCAGGAUUGAUAAUACUCUCUCUUCCCCAAUUUUUAUGUAAAUUACUUGAUGUAAACAUAUCACAUCCCAAGAUGAAUUCUGGUUUGUCACAAACUCAUACAAUGUUUGUGAGUGUCUUGAGUGCCCUGAGGGCAAGGGAAUGCCUCCCUGCACUUAGCAAGUGCUUAGUAUCCAUCUGAUUCCCAGGCAAGUGUGCUCCACACUUGUCUGAAGGCACCACAGGGAUUCAGCCUCACCUUGAGUCGGCCGAGUCCUUCCCACUCUGUGCAGGCUUUCUUGAAACUCUCAGAUCACACUAAUUUCUUCCUUCUAGGAACAUAUAGCACAGUAUUAUUAUUAUUAUUAUUAUUCACGGUACUGAUUCAUUUUUUAUCUUAUUUUUCAAUUUUUUUUAAUACUUUAAGUUCUAGGGUACAUAUGCACAACGUGCAGGUUUGUUACAUAUGUAUCCAUCUGCCAUAUUGGUGAUAGCACGGUAUUAUUUAGUGUUCAAUUACAUUCUUCAAGUUCCCCCCUUUCUUGUCUCUCCAAAUAUUUUCGGGUCUCUCAAAGAAGAAAAUGUGCCUUGUUUUUCUCUCAGAUGCCUGUCUUUAGCACUUAGCAUGGUGCUGAGGGUAUGUGAAUUUGAUUGGUUUGUGAGUGGAGAAAAAGGAGAUUUCUAAAGCACUAGAAAAGAUCUGCCUCUCCAUGUAUACUAACUCCUUGUUUGGUGUGAGCAUGUCUGAGGAAAAAGCAUAAUCACAUCAAAUGGAGCCACAAGUUCAUCACUUUAGUUUCCCUGGAAGGCAGCUCUAGUAGAGGAGAUCUGGCAAGAAUUUUGAAUUCAGAAAAAUCUGGAUUUGAAACUUGACUCUAAUCUUUACUAGCUUGUAACAUUGGUAAAAGAGUCUUUCUGUGUUUCCGUAUUUACUAGUAAAAGCAUGAAUAAUACAACCUUCUUGAAUGUUUUUGGAAAUAUUAAAUGAGAUAAGGCAUUGGAUAUGUCCUAGCAUGUAAGAAUGAAUGAUGUUUACAUUGAUUCUCUUUCUGUGCUAGUAACCAGUGACCAUUUUUACCCUGAACUUUCUAUUUCUUCCUGAAACUAAUUUCUUUUUCUCUUGAUGUUAUCUUUUGGAAAAUAUCAACGAAAGGAGAUCCUAUGAGUAAAGUCUAAGGAUUCGAAUGCUGAGAGGGACCUGGAGUGCUGUGGGUGACUAUCCCAUGACUCCCUAUUUAUCGUAUGAAUGGCCAGACUGUUAGUAUUCCCAUUCAUACCUACCCACCCACUCCCAAUUUCAAUACAAAUUUAUAUCUCUAUAAAUGACUAAAAUACUAUUGUGUUGGUUUUUCUUUCUUUUUUUCUUGCUGCCACAACAAAUUACCACUUACUUAAAGAAAAUAAGAUGAAAGUGAUAUGUUUUAAAGUAUAAAAUAAAAAAAAAACAAAACAAAUUUAUUAUCUUACCAUUCUGUGGGUGAGACGUUCACGUGACUUUGGCCAAAAUUUAGGGGGUGGUAGGUUGUGUUCUUUUCUGGAGGAUCUAGGGAUUUACUUCCUAGGGUUUCCAGCCUCUAGAAUUCUGGACUUGAAUGGGAGUGGCGGUGUUUUUCUUCUAGUAAUACGCAUAGGUGUAGGCUGGUGCAAUUGAUAGCCACUACAUGCAAGAGAGCAGAAUCAAGGGAAAUGAAGAGAAGCUAGUCCUGUUGACUUCAAUUGACACUGAAAUAUCAGUCAUCUCUGAAGCUGAAUAUCCAUGAACUUGUCAGACUUACAAGUUGACUGACUACAUGAUUAGCUGUUCAAACUCACUCAUGAAGAUGGAAAGAGUCACUAUUUUAAAAUAUGCGAGAGUGACAGACAUUAACCACGGACCAUCCCAGCCAGACUAGCAGUUGCCUGCUGCAUAGGAGACCACUGAUAGUGUGUUUUUUCAUGAAGAAUCAACUCAGUCUCUCAAUUUGCCACAACUCUGAACCUGUAAGUAUUGUAUUUUUCUGAGAAUAAUUAGUAAAGUAGCCUCAGUCAAUGACAGCACUUGAAAGAAGUUGGAAAAGGCAUUUAUUCCUGUUUAACCCCUUUUUAAAAACACUAACCCCUCCCAUUCUUACAAGGGUCAAUUAAAGAUACUCAAUAUAUUCCAGUCUAGAAGCGAAUUGUCUGGAUUCAACAGUCCAUUAAUGGUAAUUGAACAAAGUUAACUUUUAGUGUCUUUUUGAAGUAGGUAUACAUAACGUGUAUCACAAAAGAGGUGAAUUGUUUAGUGAGAGCAGAUGAAGUUAAGAUAUUUAAAUCAAGUUAUUUUAGAGAACUCUUAAGCUAAUUAUGCUCAGAAAAGUAGCUGCUUCUUGGCUUAUAAAAGAUAGCACCUCUUUCAAACAGGUGUAGCUGGGGUAGGAUGGUACACUUAGCAAGCCCCCUCAGUACUCUGUGUGGCCACUUAAGAGAGAUUUUAGAGAUUUCCUAGAUUGUCUCCAAAACGUUACUCCAUUUUUGAGGGAUUGCCUGAAAUAUCAUUGAUGGCACUUAAGCUUAAAGAUUAAUCCCUUGUUAAAAUACAGAUAUCCAUGGGAAGGAUGACAUUUUAAGCUGCUCCUGUCAUUUUUAUUUCAUUGAAGGCAAUGGCUAAAAUCAGGUUUUGAGUGAGGCAAUGAAAUCGGAGAUAACAAAGCCUUUGGAUACUCAAGAGAGAAAAGCCCUUCUAAGGACACAGGCUUCCUAUAUCAGGCCUGUGGUGGGGUUGGCGUGAGUUCUGUCCUGGGGCUGAGUCCUGGAACACACAAUCUAGAUUCGUUUUUUCCCAUUUCUUGGCACAACUAUCUGAUUAGAUGAGGUUGAAAGUCCUUGCAAAAACUAAGUCAGUUCUCAUUAUUUUUUAAUUUUAAAAUGGUGUUUGGCCUUACCUUAAUUAGUCCUUGUAUUCAACAAGGACAGGAAGUGACCCAAGGAGAUAUUUAUCUCCUCAGCCUUCUUCAUCUUGCCUAGGGUAACUUUCAAGUAACAGCUACUAAUACCGUACCACCUAUUCCUUUUUAAAAAUUGCAACCCUGGGAGUUCUAUUCCUAAAGAUUCACAAUGUUUUAGGGGAAGAUCCUGCUCCUGGCUCUAAUGCUGGAGUUUGUAAUACUGCCAUUUUUACUGAAUUGAAUGAAAUGGCUAAAAUCAGUUUCUAAGCGAGAACUGAUAUCGCUCAUCUUUGAUAAAACCCCAACACAAUGGCUUGUUGUAUUGUGAAAUGGUUAGGAAUUGAGUGAUUAUACUUUUGAUCUAUGAACACUCUUGAACGUGUUGAUUUUUACUUUGGUAAAACUGUGUUCUCUUUUUCAGGCCACAAGCUUUUCUUUCAAAAAUGUAUACCCAGCCACCCCCAAAUAAAUUCACCAUUUCUAUACUAAUAUUUCAUAUAAGGAACCUUGCCUUUUUAUUUCAAAGGCAGUAUUCUUCUAUUUCUCCAAAGGUGAGUCAAAGAUUAGAAAUAAACAUGUAAUAACAGAAAACUCUUGGUUUGGGUAGACUCAGACGUCUGUGAGAAUAAUAGCACGAAAUACUCUGGAAAACAUUUAUAAUUCACCCUGUGUUAUGCUGUGGUAUACAUCUAAAAAAAAUACAUACAGAUUGAAUCCUCGAAGUCAGAGAAGCUAAAAGACUCAGGCUUUACUUGCAAGAAAUUUACAGUUAAUGUGUGAAUGACUGAAGUAAAUGAUAGAAAUGAUAUUUCAUAAACGAGGUUCCAAUAAAUAGUGACGUGGGAGUUUAGAAAAGAAAGCAAAUAUAUUUUUUCUGGCUAAGAGAUUUACAGAAGCAGUGAGUAGAAGGCUUUGUUGGGCUUCAAAGUUCACAUAUUUAAAAUGUCCAGACAUGGAGGAAGAGAACUUCAGGUGGAACAGAAACGUGGCAGUGGACAAGGGUGAGUGAAGAUAGAUGAGAUGUGUUGUCCAUUUUUCAUGAGAAUGAAAGCUCAUUCAUUAUGAAUGAGAUGUGUUGACCUAACAUUUGGAAGGACAGUAAUAAUUGCCCAGUCCAUUAGUGUGCCCUUGGUGGUGUAGGCAAUGGGGACAGGUCCUGGAUAUAUUAAACAGGACAGAAUCAUUACAAUUGUGCAUUAGGAAAUUUAAUUCUACAAAGAUAUAUGGUAAAUUAGAAAGGGGAAGAGUCUAAUAUUGGCAGUCCAGUUAGAAGGGCCUUUGAACAGCCCAUUGAAUAUCUGGAACGUUGAAUGCUAAUAUUAGGAAUAUUUCCAAGACAGAGGAAAUGAUAAGCAGACAAUGAUUUUAUAUGUGUGUGGAAACCAGUUGAAGGUAGAGUUACAAAUAAGACUAGGACUAGUAAGUGAGAGAAUGGAGUGUAGACAACUGAAGAUGGAACCUUGAUUCAUUUAUAUGAAUCAGUAGAUGGAGAGAAAUGAGUUAAGGGAUGUUCACCUUCCAGAUGACAUAGUACAAAAGUAUGCACCAGUUACAAUAGUGCAUGAACCCUUAGUACUUAGUAUCCUUUCCAUUCAUAGCUGCAAAAAAAUCAUGCCAUGCCUUGGUAUUCUCACUCAAUAUAGUGUCAAUAAUCAGAGAGGUGAUCACAUGAGCAACAUGAGCAAAUUCCAUCUAUUGGGUCCUGGAAACAGAGAAACAACGAAUCUUAACACAAAUCUAUCAGUAUAAUCUGAGUGUUAACUAAAGGUAAUCGAGCAAGAGUAAAUAUGGUGGUCUGUAAACAUGCGUAUCUGCCACAUACAAUGUCAGGAAAACAUUGUCACCUGGUAUUAAAAACACUAAAUAUCCCCAUAACAUUAAUUCAGCUACUGUGCAUGUAGAUUUUACCAUGGACUCAACAAAUUACAUGGUAAGAGCUUGUAAAAGAUAUCUGGGAACUUCAGAACAGAACUCAGAGCAAUGUGAAAUACUAUCCAAUCCAACAUGGUAUAUUUCAAAUGUGUGCAUUUAGGGGACUCAAACGAUAAUUCUUUUUGGACUUUCCCAGUUCCCUGUUCCUCCCACUAUCACAAUCUAUUUUUCUCAACUUUCUUUGCAAUGUAUCUGGGUUCCUGUAUCAAAACCUUAACUCUAAGUGAUCACAUUAUAAUUGUGAAACUUAGGUUUAGUUUGAAGCUUAAUUGCCAGUGCAACACUAACCGUACAAUGUAGUUUUAUAACACAGACUUUUCAGAAAUGAUAUAACUAUAGUGAGGAUAGAAAAUACCUACCUCAGUGACUGAAAAUCACAGUGGGAGUAAAAGUAGGUAGAGCUAGACAUGUAAAUGUCCCUAGCUAAAAAUUUCAGGUUCUAUUUCUAGAUUGCUUUUGUCUUUACGAUAAUUCUUUCUAACAAGACUAGGAAUCAUUUUAUUCAAUGUGGAUGCAGAGAAUGACAAGGGAUAGACCUCUUGAGAUGACAGCCUGACAGCCUUUAAAUCAAGGAGGAUCUCUUUUUUAGCAAGCAUGAAGAUUAAACAGACUAAUGAAUCAGAGCUUUAGACCAUCUAGUCCUGGGAGAUCACAUCAGAGUCCCAUCAGCCACGGUCAGGUCAAGGAACAUUCUUUCCUGUCAACUGGCAAGUCUCCUAUUGUUGUGUUGACAGUCUUGCUCUUCUCUGGGAAAUUAUUCUACUUACUGGAGACAGAUGCCGCAGCACAUAAUUUUAUAGUUCUAAGGAUCUAAAAGGUAAGCUUUCCUUAACCAGUGUAGUUGGGGGAAAAAUGUGGUUGUAUGUAUUUUAUAUUCUGGAAUUAGUUUCUUUCCACCAUAUGUCAAUUUUAUUUUUGAUAGAGAAAUUUUUAUUCUACUUGUCUAAAUGUUCUCAUAAAAAGGAAAUAUCCAAUGUGCUAGGUGCCUUCAGAGUUUCCUAGAAAUUCCUUGAUCUGUCACCAUUCAGUGGACAUGAAUGUAAAUUUUAAGAGACUUAAAGUUUUCAAGAGGGCUUGGAGUCAAAUUCCUUCUCACCUCCCAGUUAUAUCUCUGGAUUAAUCAAAAUUCAUGACGCAGUUCUUUUGAAGUUGUUAAUUUUAUUUGAAACAGUUAUAUAUGCUCAGUACAUAGGGAAGCAUAAAUGCAGACUUUUUUUUUCUUUCCUCCUUCCAGCUAGUAUUAUUCUGGAAAACAAAAUUAUGUAAAAAUAGCACUGAAGUUGCAAAGCAGAUAUUAGAUUUUUGUUCUAAAAUGAAUCUCGAUGAUGCUUAUCUUAAUGAAUAGGAGAUAGGAAUUUCUUUUAAUUAAACAAUUCAUUGUUUCAAUUAAACAAACUUCAUUUUGUUUCAUUGCCAUCCUUUAAGUAUGGGCAACUUUUGUCUUCCACAUUCUGCUAUUUCCUGUUGCUUCUCUGCUGACAUUUCGCCAGCAAACAGAAUAGCAGGCUAUGAGUGUGCAUCACCUAGUUUUAAUACAAUAUUAGUAUCUGAUCUUUAACUCAUUAAAUGACAAGACUUGCCAUCUUUGACUUGCUGCUAUUUAACAUUGCAGACCUGUCUCUAAUAGCUGUAACACAUAUUACUCACUGAAACAUUCGUGAGCAGUAAGCAUGACAGAAUAAGAAUUAGUUUAGCAGGAAAAAGCAAAAUGAUUUCAUUUCCAGUGCAGAGAUAUAUUUCUGCACUUGCUGUGAUCAUAUUUCUACAUCACAACUAUUGAUUCAGGGGUUGCUGUAAACUAAUCUAUAAUAAUUCUAUUCGUUGUUACUCUACAUUAACAUGUAAAUAUACGUAUUAAUUUAAAAAUACAGAUACAGACUCUAAGAUUUCAACAAAAAUUAUUAAACAUUUUUAAAAUUUGCUUUUCCCUUUUUUGAAUCCACAGAUGCUUUUAAUGAAUUGGUGCUUGGGUACUGAGCCAGUUUUAACUCACUAGAGGCCUGUGUCAUUUAUUUUCUUGUUUAACCAUGAAAAGAACAUCAAAAGAGUGGCUCAAAACCAACCAACCAACCAACCAACCAACUCACCCCUUUUCAGGUCUCCAUAGAGAUUUAUGUCCACUCAAUGAGCUUAUUAUGUGGUAAGGGUUGUUAGAGAUUCCAAAGAAGCAGAAGUCACGGCCUCUCCCCUCGAGUAUUUGUCAUGUUGCAGGGAGAUGUGAAAUACACACAUGAAAUAACUACGGAACACACGCAAGUCAGCAUAUUAAUAGUGGAUGAUAUUACAGAGCGGAUGAUAUACAUACAUUGUGAAGAAAUAUAAAGUAAGGGAAAUUUUGCCUUGUCCUGUGGUCAGAGAAGAAAGGAAGCUAUUAAUGUAAUCUCUGAAGGAAAUAUACAUUUAGGCUUGGCGAAGUGAAGUGAGGAUGGUGAUCAACAGUUAGAGGUCUAGUGUGAGUUCUUGCAGAAAGGCCCAGCGGAAGAAGGAAGGCAGGCCCAGGAGUGAGCUCUCUUCAUCUUCACCUGGAACCUCUUUGACGCUAGAUGGGCUGACGGGGUUUAUGUGCCUCUUCCCUCUCACUUGGGUUGCUGCUUGUUUUUCUGGAAAUUAUGUGUUCUUGGGGAUUCUUUCUGCGGCUCUCAUUCACUCCAUAGUGUGACAAGAAUGUGCCUGGUGGAAAGCAAUACAGAUUGUAGGGCCAUCCAGCGACUCUGCCAUGCCCGUACUUUCUGUUCCCCUGGACACCUAAGGCAUACUGGAUGGCAUCCGACUGCCCUGCCAUUGAGAUGAGUCAGCUCUGCUCUGAACACUCCCUCAUUUAGAUGACAUCAUGCCGAGUGGCAUACAUGGUUGUGGCUGUGCAAGAAAAUCAUACAUGACCUGCGGUUGUGACAAGCAGUGGCGAGAGCACUGGGAAGGAGCCAUGGAGUUCUAGCUCCUUCUACAGUGAGUCAAUCCUUAUCUUGCAGAGACCUCAUUUUCCUCAUAGAACCUAAGGAGGUUGGGCUGCAGUAUCACUAAGGUAACUUUCAGAAAUUAUUUUCUAUUAUUUUAAAUUUGUUCCAAAGUGAGAAACAUUAAUAAGGCAAAGGAUAUCUUCCCAGCACGAUACUUAAUUCAUGAAGAAGUAAAAUAAAGUACAAAUCUUUAGCCAAUGAAUUUGAUGUAGUCUCUUCCCUAUGUCUACCACCAUUUGAGCAGGGAAACCUAUAAAAUCCAGGCCAGUAUCAGUGCCAUCAUCCUUAGCCAGGGGUUUGCAGUAGUUUCUCAUGGAUAUGGCUGGCUUUUCAGAUGGACCUGGUGAGAUAUUGCACUCCCCAGCAAGAGGAGGCAGCUGGGAAUUUGGAUUUGAGGCACAGAGAGAACAAGGGUCUGGAGAUAGAAAUUUGCAGUUCUUACAAAAAUUGGGCUUCUUGUAGAAUCUGACCUUAAAGACGUCCUACUCUGCUUCCUCCAUUAGGGAAAUUGGAGGUUAAAUAAACUGCUGUAUCCACCUAGUGAAUUAGUGGUAAUACUCAGAAACCCAGAUUUUAGUCUCCUGAUCUAGCCCACAGACAGUACUUCCAUUUAAUUAGUCAAAUUGAUUGAAAACUUAAUUACACAUAAUCCCACACAAAAGGGAGUUAUGGUAAUCACACAUGCAAAGCUUCAGGGAUGUAAAGGAGAGGAGGGCCAAGCUGAUGAUAGCCAAACGACUGAGAGAGCAGAAUUCCCAUUGUAGCCACCUUCUCUUCAUGGGGGAAGCACUUAAUAAAGGAAUGUGGGUUUUCUGGUUGUAACAUUUUAUAAGGUAGAAUUAAAAACAUGAGACAAGGUUUCAGGUAAAGUGGAGAGUGUCAUUAAAAAAAUCUUCUAGAGGAAAAUUCCCUUAACUCAGACUGAAUCUGCUAGAGAACUGGUUACGGUAACCUAGCUUGGACAUUCUUAGGUAAGAUACGAAGCUUGCUCAGAUGCCAUUAGGAGAUACCCAGAUAUGCUCAAGCCCCCCUCCCCAGUGUUCUUAUGAUGCAUUCAUACCCUCACUGUGGUGUUUAUCAUAAUGAUUUGGGAGACAGCCUGAAGCAUCUCGUAACUUGGAAAAAUAAUUCUCUUAGGAAAGCCAGUGAGGCCACAAAUCUGAGGAUUCGAAUUUCCCACACCAAAUACAAAAUGAAAUAGAAGAUUAUCAUAUAUAAUAAAACAAAACAUUGGCUUGUGUCUCUUUUCCUUUCACAUGAACACAAGCUCUUACCAACAAGCAACCAAAACCCUGAAGUCUGAAGGAGGAAGCAAAAACAGUCUUUGUCUUCACAAUGCUUUUACCACCUAUUCAUGACUUAAUUUCUAAAAGGUUUCCAAAAAGUGUUUUUACUUUUGGCCAGGCACAGUGGCUCAUGCCUAUAAUCCUAGCACUGUGGGAGGCUAAGACGGGUGGAUCAC